CUGGUCAUGGCUGCAAAAAUUUCUACGCCAAACCUUCACUGUGGCAUCAUCCGAGGCUGUGUACAGGACCCCAUCAUCAGCCACAAUCAUGGCGUUUAUUGGUUCAGGGUGAGCCUUUAUGGUCUCUAUGCACUUCAGGUCUGAGAUUCGCCACACUUUCACCGUUUUGUCCAGUGAAGCUGUGUAUAAAAUGUCUUCUGCUGUGUUGAUUGCCAUUGACGUGAUUAUCCCCUUGUGCAUCUGUUAAUGAUGGACAAAGUUAACUGUUUCAGCUCUUAGUUUGAACAAUAUAGUAAUUGGUUUUUAUCUUUUCUGAUAACUCGCCAGCAGGAAAACCGUUGUAAAUGCUUCUGUUGUUACAGCUGAGGAGUCACUAAGAUAAGGCAAUAUUAAAAACAGCAUUUUUAAUGUGGUACGAGAGACGGUUGAAGCACGUGGGCAGUUAAAAACACUGACAAAGGUAGCAGAUACUUACUGUC
RNAcentral lists this long non-coding RNA (479 nucleotides) under Phaseolus vulgaris (common bean). RNAcentral's name for it is "long non-coding RNA (PVUL_LNC003210)". The record is from RNAcentral. Lineage: Eukaryota; Viridiplantae; Streptophyta; Magnoliopsida; Fabales; Fabaceae.